ACCUGUUUGCCAACACUCUGGUGCCGAAUCAAAAAGAUUUUAUAUAUUUCUUUUUCGAUAUAUUCGGUUCCUAUUUUGGAGCAAACUAGAUUGAUUUAGCCAAUUACUCACCAUAAUAUUCGUGAUUUAUUUAAAAAAAAUUUUUUUUUUAGAUUAAGAUGAAUAUGAUGGUCCAUUUCAGUGGCGUAAAU
Molecule: small nucleolar RNA, 191 nt
Filed under: Pachysolen tannophilus NRRL Y-2460
Lineage: Eukaryota; Fungi; Ascomycota; Pichiomycetes; Alaninales; Pachysolenaceae
Description: Small nucleolar RNA snR80
Rfam family: Small nucleolar RNA snR80
Source: Rfam by way of RNAcentral